GGGGCGGGGCGCCGGCCGCGGCGCGUGCUGAGGGGCGGGCUUGGGGGGCGGUGCCCAGACCCGGAGCGGGUGUGGCGGGUGGGGCCGGAGGCCGAGCGGAGCAGGUGGGGCACGGGGGUAACCGCGGCGAGGGAGGGGUGAGACAGGCGCUCGCCGCCGGCGGCCGUAACUUCGACCAGGUGCUCGGUUCGCUGCCUUCAGAGCGGUCAGCCCGCGAGGCGCGAAUACGUGCACACUGGAAAGAGGAAGAAAUAGUGAGUCCCAGCGGCUCACUCGUUCCCAGACUUCUGGACCCACCGGACUCGGGCUUCCUGACCCUCCCGAGUCCCCUUCCCGACGACGUGACGCCCCCCGAGAGCGGAGACCCAGUUCGCGUCAGCCUGGCCAGCAUCAGCACCCCUGGGCGUUACGGAGCCCGAGCCCCGCCGCCGCAGUUGGCCCGAGGAAGUGGGGGCCGUGGACGCGAGUCUGCAGAGGGCGAGCUGCUGACCUUCCGUGUAGGGCGCUAAAGCGAGGGACGAAAGCCCGCGGCGGCCACUCGGGAUCCGUCGCCCCUUGAAGAGAACGAAAAGAGAGAGAAAGUGUAUGAGCGUGAGAAGGGGCAGAAGGAGACGGGAAGCGAAUUCUCAAGCAGAUCCCCGCGGAGUGCUGAGCCUACCUGGGACUCACCCAAGGACCCUGAGAUCAUGACCCGAGACAGAAUCAAGAGUCAGCUGCCUAACCAAUGGAGCUGCCCAGGGGCGCCCCGUCAACAUUUAAAGAGGAGGUUUUCUUGUUCUAUCCCAGAAAGCCAAGCAAAUUCCCAUGAAGCCAUCUGUUAUCUCUUCCAUACUGUAUUUUUCUAAGAUAAAUGCAUAAAAUGCCUUAUAAUCAUUUAA
Molecule: long non-coding RNA, 878 nt
Organism: Mustela lutreola (European mink)
Lineage: Eukaryota; Metazoa; Chordata; Mammalia; Carnivora; Mustelidae
Exons: 2
Source: RefSeq, a predicted model, not a curated record